UUAGUGGCAGACGGGUGAGUAAUGCGUAGGAAUCUACCUAGUAGUAUGGAAUAGCCAUUAGAAAUGAUGGGUAAUACUGUAUAAUCCCUGCGGGGGAAAGAUUUAUCGCUAUUAGAUGAGCCUACGUUAGAUUAGCUAGUUGGUAAGGUAAUGGCUUACCAAGGCUAUGAUCUAUAGCUGGUCUGAGAGGACGAUCAGCCACACUGGAACUGAGAUACGGUCCAGACUCCUACGGGAGGCAGCAGUGGGGAAUAUUGGACAAUGGGCGAAAGCCUGAUCCAGCUAUGCCGCGUGAGUGAAGAAGGCCUUCGGGUUGUAAAACUCUUUCAAUAGG
Molecule: ribosomal RNA, 334 nt
Filed under: uncultured Ehrlichia sp.
Lineage: Bacteria; Pseudomonadati; Pseudomonadota; Alphaproteobacteria; Rickettsiales; Anaplasmataceae
Description: bacterial SSU rRNA
Rfam family: Bacterial small subunit ribosomal RNA
Source: RNAcentral